GUGUGUGUGUGUGCUGAAGUGAAGGGUCCGGUUGGCUCCUGCCCGCGGGGGGCCUCUUGCUCUUCUGUUGAGUAUGUGUGUGUGUGUAUGUGUGUGUGCGUUGAAAAUGAAAUUAUGGGCGAGGGGUGGAGAAGGCAGGCGGGGCCUUCAUAGGGAUGAGGCAAGCGGGAGUAUGUCCAUUAGAAGGCUAUUCAAGUUGCGGUUGGAGAGCGGUUCUCGUAACUAAAUUGCCGCGCUUGCCGUCCCGGUGCUCCGUCGACUUUCGAAGGGAAGACGAAACGCGGAGGAAGAGGAAAAGUGAAA
Caenorhabditis elegans is the source of this 303-nucleotide non-coding RNA. NCBI's taxonomy places the organism in Eukaryota, Metazoa, Nematoda, Chromadorea, Rhabditida, Rhabditidae. The record is from Ensembl.